GGGACUUUUUUUGUGUAUUUGUUUUAUAUUUAUAUUGUUAAUGUGUGUGGAGAUCUUAUAUCUCUGUAAUAAAUCUUCACUCCAUGUUCAUAUCAUCAAAAAUUAACUCACCCAUCCAGUAUAAGACUGUCAGAAUAUGGUGGAUUCAUCAUUACUUAUUUGAUAUAAUUUUCAUGGAUUUUCUUUGAUAAAGGUGAACCACCAAUUUCUUUUAAAUCAUGUUCAACGAAGUUCAUAUUUCCUAAACACUUGAAAGCAGACUUAAACAAAAACCACUAAAAUACCAUUUUCCCCAAUCCACCAAAUAUUUGUACCCAUGAAAAAUGAAUGAAUCCACAGUGCAUCAGUGUAAUAUUUAUACUGCCAGCUAACAAAUUUAUUUUUGUAUGUGUUAUUUGUUAAUAUAGGGUUAUUGCAUGAAUAUUGGGGAAUAUUGUCCCGAGUAGAAUUUUAUAUUGCACGAGCUUGCGAGUUCAAUAUAUGUUCUACGAGGGACAAUAGUCACUAAUAUUCAUGCAAUAACCCUUAUAUUGUAUAGCAAUAUAAUAUUUGAAUGUAAAAAUUGGUUUAAACUAAGAUUUUGUUAUUGAUGACGUCAUGAAUUUUGAAGAUUUAUUGCAUGCUAACUUCUGGUUACUUUCUGUGGGAAAUAUUAUAUUGCUAUGCAAUAAUAAAGAAUUUCUUCUUUUCUCUGAAUAUCACCAAGGUUGACAGCUUUCAAUUUUCUCUGACAUGAAAAACACCAUCGUUAGUUUUAUUAUCAUGUAUGAUAUAAAAUGUGUAUGUCUGAAGAAUGUUUUUUUUUUAAACAAUGUGACCGCUGAAAAAAUAGCCACCUACCAAACACCACCAAAUGAGGAUAUUUUGUAAAGAGACGAUCCAAUAUUGCCAAUUCUUAUAUGCAUGAUAUUUGAGUCUUUCAUAAUAUAUCCGAUUUUCGCUGAAUGUUUUUGACGUUUUAUAAAAUGUAUAUAUUUUCACUAAUUGUCCAAUCUUUUAUUUUAUUCUCUUUUUCUAUGUUCACAAUUUUUAUUUUUCUUAUUUAAAUUGGUAAAAUACUCACAAUUCACAGAUAUAUGGCAUACAAAGUUACAUAAGACUUCUAUUAGACUACAAGUUAUUUGACAUCCUUAAAGUACAUUAUAGAUGUUUAUACUAAUUUUAUACUGCAGACUCUGGAAAGGGACCAUAUAACAAUCACCUUGUCCCUUCUCAAAGUAGAAAUGUAAGAAGAUUAAACUUAUACAAUGGAAAGUUUUCUAGGGGAAAAAUGAUGUCCAAAAAGGGUUAGGUUAUACAAGUUUGGAAAUUUGCAUUUCAUCUAAAAUUUUGAAUAUGGAAGGUUUUUUUUUAUUCCAGCAAUUUGAAAAUGAAGGAAAUAUUUUAAGGUUCAAAAGGCAUCAAAACAAAUUAACAAUAUUGAUUUACAACGAAAAGUCUUACUGUAAUCAGUGUAAAGGGGGAAAGGGUGUGUGGAUGGGAGUCCUGAGUUGAGAGGAAAUGGUUGCAAUUGCCUGUAAUGUUAAAAUUGUCUUCAUAGUGUGGAAUUUUGUUUUUGACGAUUUUAUGCCCAGAAAAAGGUAUUUCUACUCUCCCACCCGAAUCCAUCAAUGAUGUAUUUUAUAACAUUAAUAAAUCCUUGGGUUAACAACUGUUUUAAAAAUUCAAAGUAGCUUUUUACAAAAGUGUAGUUAUUUUCAUCUUAUUCUUAACAUUCUUGUAUCAUGACAAACUGUACUAUUAUGUAGUUUUGUGAUUGAAUUUUAAUUUGUUUUUUGUUGCAGCUAAUUGUUAUCAAUAAAACUGUGUGCCACUAGGAGAUUUGUUAAAUUGGUGUU
This 1838-nucleotide long non-coding RNA is filed under the name Mytilus galloprovincialis (Mediterranean mussel). The record is from RNAcentral. Lineage: Eukaryota; Metazoa; Mollusca; Bivalvia; Mytilida; Mytilidae.